GAGAGGAUUUGCAUUGGUGGUAGUAGCUGAGGUUUGGGCGGCGGCUGCUGCAGCUGCUAAAGUUGCCAAAUUCUGUAAUUGUAAAGCGUUCAUGCCGGCCAUUUGCUGAAUGCCGCUGAAGGCACCCAAGUUACUGGAGGAAGUUGCUUGCUGCAGGAGAGCUAGAUAUUGUGGUGUGAGUCCUCCAAGACCCGUGAGGUUUCCCCAAGUGGCAGUAUUGAGCUGUUGCAUCUGCUGUGCCAACUGCUGCUGCAAACGCCGCUGCUCUUU
Molecule: long non-coding RNA, 270 nt
Filed under: Gallus gallus (chicken)
Lineage: Eukaryota; Metazoa; Chordata; Aves; Galliformes; Phasianidae
Source: RNAcentral